Molecule: ribosomal RNA, 641 nt
Filed under: Gammaproteobacteria bacterium GUDS1129
Lineage: Bacteria; Pseudomonadati; Pseudomonadota; Gammaproteobacteria
Description: bacterial SSU rRNA
Rfam family: Bacterial small subunit ribosomal RNA
Source: RNAcentral
AGCGCGAACGUUCCUUCGGGAACAAGUAGAGCGGCGGACGGGUGAGUAACGCGUGGGAAAUUGCCCAGUAGUGGGGGACAACAUUCGGAAACGGAUGCUAAUACCGCAUACGCCCUACGGGGGAAAGCAGGGGAUCUUCGGACCUUGCGCUAUUGGAUAUGCCCGCGUCGGAUUAGCUAGUUGGUGAGGUAAUGGCUCACCAAGGCAACGAUCCGUAGCUGGUCUGAGAGGAUGAUCAGCCACACUGGGACUGAGACACGGCCCAGACUCCUACGGGAGGCAGCAGUGGGGAAUAUUGGACAAUGGGCGCAAGCCUGAUCCAGCCAUGCCGCGUGUGUGAAGAAGGCCCUAGGGUUGUAAAGCACUUUCAGUAGGGAGGAAGGCCUUAAAGUUAAUACCUUUGAGGAUUGACGUUACCUACAGAAGAAGCACCGGCUAACUCCGUGCCAGCAGCCGCGGUAAUACGGAGGGUGCGAGCGUUAAUCGGAAUUACUGGGCGUAAAGCGCGCGUAGGCGGUUAGUUAAGCUGGAUGUGAAAGCCCCGGGCUCAACCUGGGAACUGCAUUCAGAACUGGCUGGCUAGAGUACGAGAGAGGGUAGUGGAAUUUCCUGUGUAGCGGUGAAAUGCGUAGAUAUAGGAA